UAUCUGUAGGAAAGGGAACAGUUUCCCUUUAGAAUGCCCAAGUUGUAUCUAAAAUUUUUUUCUAAUAUUAUACUUAUUUAAGGAUCAAAUUUUUACCUGAAUUGUAGCAGAACCAAGGUUCAAAUUUCAAAUUAUCUGAUAUAAACCUCCAUGGAGGCCUGGAUAUGUAGACCUUCUACUUCGCAUGCACGUCAAACGCC
RNAcentral lists this long non-coding RNA (200 nucleotides) under Elaeis guineensis (African oil palm). Its description in RNAcentral is "long non-coding RNA (EGUI_LNC065210)". The record is from RNAcentral. Lineage: Eukaryota; Viridiplantae; Streptophyta; Magnoliopsida; Arecales; Arecaceae.